Molecule: transfer RNA, 57 nt
Filed under: Strongyloides vituli
Lineage: Eukaryota; Metazoa; Nematoda; Chromadorea; Rhabditida; Strongyloididae
Description: tRNA-Leu
Source: RNAcentral
GUUGGUGUAGCAUAAUAUAAUGCAUUUGUUUUAAGCGCAGAAGAUUUAUCUCCAACU